RNAcentral lists this ribosomal RNA (440 nucleotides) under uncultured bacterium. Its description in RNAcentral is "partial 16S ribosomal RNA". It matches the Rfam family "Bacterial small subunit ribosomal RNA", at positions 338 to 795 of the family's 1533-position model. The record is from RNAcentral.
CCUACGGGGGGCAGCAGUGGGGGAUAUUGCACAAUGUGGGAAACCCUGAUGCAGCGACGCCGCGUGGGUGAAGAAGCGCCUCGGCGCGUAAAGCCCUGUCAGCAGGGAGGAAAAUGACGGUACCUGAAGAAGAAGCCCCGGCUAACUACGGGCCAGCAGCCGCGGUAAUACGUAGGGGGCAAGCGUUAUCCGGAAUUACUGGGUGUAAAGGGGUCGCAGACGGCGAUGCAAGCCAGGAGUGAAAGCCCGGGGCCCACCCCCGGGACUGCUCUUGGAACUGCGUGGCUAGAGUGCAGGAGGGGCAGGCGGAAUUCCUGGUGUAGCGGUGAAAUGCGUAGAUAUCAGGAGGAACACCGGUGGCGAAGGCGGCCUGCUGGACUGCAACUGACGUUGAGGCCCGAAAGCGUGGGGAGCAAACAGGAUUAGAUACCCCAGUAGUC